Molecule: long non-coding RNA, 447 nt
Filed under: Sarcophilus harrisii (Tasmanian devil)
Lineage: Eukaryota; Metazoa; Chordata; Mammalia; Dasyuromorphia; Dasyuridae
Description: lncRNA (ENSSHAG00000028176.1)
Source: RNAcentral
CUGUAAAAAAAAAGGGGGGAGGGGUUUACUGUUUUCUAAGAUUCCUUCUAUCUUUAGAUAUGAGCCUGUGGAAUUGGAUGGGACAUACAUGAGGCUGAAGGAGAUUUGGUGAAGGCCAAUUAAUAGCUAAAUAUAUAUACUGAACUUCCUUCAGUAGAGCAAUUCAAGCAAGAGAGCAAUGGAUUAAUAACAUAAGUUUCUAGUCUACUCUCCAAGGUCGGAAAGUGUUCGAGGGGUUUGAUUUAUUGAGCUGUGGGGGAGAGAUCCUGCUGUGCCCAUAGAGGAGAUGGUAAUUCUUUGAAAAAGGGAUUGUUCAACUCCUACAGAGAGAGGCUUUAGGCAAUUUUGAAAUAAUAGAAGCUGAGAAUCUUGGGCCUCAUAUAGAUUGUACACCAUCGGUCUCUUCCCUUGGGAUGGGAGAAAAAGAAACAGCUGUUAAUAGAAUCA